UACGUAGGGUGCAAGCGUUAAUCGGAAUUACUGGGCGUAAAGCGUGCGCAGGCGGCUUUGCAAGACAGAUGUGAAAUCCCCGGGCUUAACCUGGGAACUGCAUUUGUGACUGCAUGGCUGGAGUGCGGCAGAGGGGGAUGGAAUUCCGCGUGUAGCAGUGAAAUGCGUAGAUAUGCGGAGGAACACCGAUGGCGAAGGCAAUCCCCUGGGCCUGCACUGACGCUCAUGCACGAAAAGCGUGGGGAGCAAACAGG
Molecule: ribosomal RNA, 254 nt
Filed under: uncultured bacterium
Lineage: Bacteria
Description: partial 16S ribosomal RNA
Rfam family: Bacterial small subunit ribosomal RNA
Source: RNAcentral